GGCCUUUCUUCAAAGAUAAGUACUGACCUUUCCUACUGUGUCAAAGCACUUUUGCUAAGCCUCACGCUUAAGCAAGUAUUUCAUCUGCAUAAAGGAGGAAGGCAAAGGCAGAGAGCCCCACCAAACAAGGAAGAAAGCUAGCCCCUCCCUUGAUCUCUCCGAAGGCACUCUAUUUCAACUAUAAAUUUCGUAGAUAGAGAGUAAACUCACAAUUCCUUUUCCCUAUUUCCCGCUUUAGUAGAUAUAGUAAAAAGGUCAAAUUCACUUUAUCGAUAAAAGAGAUCGCAAAUCUUUUCUAACCGAGUUGCAUUCCCAGGAGUCAGAAGUAAGAGUUCCUAUACUAAAGCCAAUUAGCUUUCGUCAAAAGAGUAGCAGCCCUUGAAGUGAGAUCCUUACUAUCUUUCUUUACUACUGAGGCAAGAAGAACUUCAGUAGAUUAAGAGAAUUGCUUUGAUUGAGGGAGGACUUGUUGGCUAAUAGAGGCCAGGGUAUCUACUCUCAUUCCUUAGUUGUCAAGUUUGGAGUAGUUGCUGACUUUCACUUGCUUUUCUUCCGCCAGCAAAAGGAAUUAGUCUGACAGCUAUUGGUGCUUUAGUUCAACCAGAACUGGACCUAGAGACUGGGACUGUAAGAGAGGCUCCGGUUUAUGAACCACUGUAGUCUUGUUUUCCUGGUCUAGUAAGUCCAGUAGUCCGGUCAAGUCAGUCAGGUAGUACUGGUCAAGUAAGCACAGUCGUUUUU
This 741-nucleotide long non-coding RNA is filed under the name Oryza brachyantha (malo sina). Its description in RNAcentral is "long non-coding RNA (OBRA_LNC003476)". The record is from RNAcentral. Lineage: Eukaryota; Viridiplantae; Streptophyta; Magnoliopsida; Poales; Poaceae.